RNAcentral lists this ribosomal RNA (805 nucleotides) under uncultured bacterium. RNAcentral's name for it is "bacterial SSU rRNA". It matches the Rfam family "Bacterial small subunit ribosomal RNA", at positions 593 to 1403 of the family's 1533-position model. The record is from RNAcentral.
GUGUGAAUUCUGCAGCUUACCUGUAGACUGCCGUGAUACUGUCAGUCUUGAGUAUGGUCAAGGCAGGCGAAAUGUGUAAUGUAGCGGUGAAAUGCUUAGAUAUUACACAGAACACCGGUUGCGAAGGCAGCUUGCUGGGCCAUUACUGACGCUGAUGCACGAAAGCGUGGGGAUCGAACAGGAUUAGAUACCCUGGUAGUCCACGCCGUAAACGAUGAUCACUCGCUGUUGGCGAUACACAGUCAGCGGCUAAGCAAAAGCAUUAAGUGAUCCACCUGGGGAGUACGGCCGCAAGGCUGAAACUCAAAGGAAUUGACGGGGGCCCGCACAAGCGGAGGAACAUGUGGUUUAAUUCGAUGAUACGCGAGGAACCUUACCUGGGCUUAAAUGUAGAGUGCAUUGGUGAGAAAUCAUCAUUUUCUUCGGAACUCUCUGCAAGGUGCUGCAUGGUUGUCGUCAGCUCGUGCCGUGAGGUGUCGGGUUAAGUCCCAUAUCGAGCGCAACCCUUAUCGUUAGUUGCCAGCGGGUAAUGCCGGGGACUCUAGCGAAACUGCCGGUGUAAACCGAGAGGAAGGUGGGGAUGACGUCAAAUCAGCACGGCCCUUAUGUCCAGGGCUACACACGUGUUACAAUGGCCGGUACAGAGGGCAGCUACCUGGAGACAGGAUGCGAAUCUCGAAAGCCGGUCUCAGUUCGGAUCGGAGUCUGCAACUCGACUCCGUGAAGCUGGAUUCGCUAGUAAUCGCGCAUCAGCCAUGGCGCGGUGAAUACGUUCCCGGGCCUUGCACACACCGCCCGUAAGGGC